This is a long non-coding RNA of Oncorhynchus gorbuscha (pink salmon), 1630 nucleotides long. RefSeq lists it as uncharacterized. NCBI's taxonomy places the organism in Eukaryota, Metazoa, Chordata, Actinopteri, Salmoniformes, Salmonidae. The record is from RefSeq and is a predicted model, not a curated record. The transcript has 4 exons.
GCGUUUGCAGCGCUAGUUCAACCCACACCACAUGAAUGGCCACAGCACAUAGUGCCACUGUAAAGCUACACUAGUGGCGAUGGAGGAUUAAAAGGUUGAGCUCAGACCACAAACACUACUUUCUGUUCACCUCCUGCCCCUGCAAUAGGGCCUUCUCCUGAUCUGAGCUAAUCCAACAGGCUAAUCUUGCCACUAGCUUGAGAGCCACAGGAAUCAUUCUACUCUCCCUCAAUGGGAGGAAUAGUCCCAGUGUUCUAACCCAGCUGCAGUCCCAAGACGGGAUACAUGUGAUAGGACCAUGUGCACCACUACGAUGGUCCUCACCACUAUUGCUGUCAUCCUAUACAGAAAGUUCUCAAACCGAGUCGAACCGUACAAUGUUGAUGAUGCCAAUGAGGUGCCCUACAUGAAGAGCAAUGGAGUCGACCCUAAGAAAUAACAACGCUCACAGCAGAUGUAGCUCUAGUCUACAGUCUACAUGACACGAACUGAAGACAGGUCUUCACCUUGAUGGCUACACAUCUGACAACAGCAGCAGCUCCAUCUCAGUCAUCUGGAAUUGAUGCAGCUGGCGCCAUUGUCUCUCCAGUGUUCAGAGACUGUGCAUUGCCAUGUGAAAAGCAUCUGGAAUUUAUCACAUCUUCAAUCCCCCAUCUGUCCUGCAGAUCCCUCUAAUGUUAGAGGAGUCCCAGGAAGCCUCCCUCCUCCUUCUUGAGGCAGGAGAAUUCAAUUUCUGGGAAUGAAACCUCAACCAAUAACAUCUUGGUGGAGCUGAAUCUACAGUCCAACAUCUUGGUUUAUUGUGGGUUUCUUGUUUUGUACAGUUGGACGUUUUCUUAAGGCUUAAAGUAGGCCAAUGGUCAAUGUAAAACUGUUGGAAAGUGUUCCGUGCCUCAACAAACAGUUGUUUUUUUUAUUGUCAUUUUUUGUCUGAGCAAAUAGGGCUGUACAGAUUUGUGUCCAUUGAGUAAAUUAUAAUGGCUUUUAAAGAAGAGGCAGAACUUUAAAAUGAUGCACUUUAAAUGGUAGGAUGUUUUUGGUAAUCUUUCACAUUCCUAAAGUGACCUAAAUCUUGUUUUGACUGAAACAAGGAGCUUUGGAUAAGCAAUAUAUUUCAAAUGAAUCGCUUGAACCCAUAAAUAUUUGACCAAAUGUCAGAGAACAUAAAUGUCUUGUCGUGAAGAUGUGUGUGCCAUGGCUACUCAAUCGAAAGAGCAAUGGAGAGAGGCAUCAGUUUUGUACCUCUCUGUCAAUCCUCUCCAGUCACAAUGCAUUGCUAUGUGAUGAAAGAAAGCAUGCAAUGAAUCACCUCUUCCCCUACACCUUUAGCAUCCCGUUGGUCCCAUUAAAGGAGCAACAGUCAGAAAGAGGUGUGUUACUAGUCUGCCUGUGUUCAAAACACAGCUCCAACUUUACUUUACAUUUUUUAAAGCAGCUAGGUGUCACCUUAGUAAACGUCUGUGUUGAGUCAGAGCUUGGUGAUGAUGGUGGUUACUGGUAGGACGGUUUGUUACAGAAUCGACUUUCCUUUGACAUGUCAUCUUACAACCUGCUUCUUCUCUCUAAAGCAAAAAUGAUGUAUGUUCUUUGCUCUCCCCACCUGAUCAAAUAAAGAGAUUGGAAAAAUUUA